GGCACAUGUAUGACCUGUUGGUCUGCAGACAAGAACAUCUCCACAGAGGAUUACUAAAAUGAAUGGAAAAACUAUAAGGAUUUUAAGAUGGGUCACUGUGGUCCUACUAACUACAAUCACAAACACCAGUGUUGUAUGUUCAAAUGUGAGCACCAUCACACCAGUUUCUACCACAAUGGCUGCCGUUAGCACUGACCUGACCACAACUCCAAAUAUGGACACCAUCACAUCGAACCCCACCAUAACAACGGCUGCCACUAGCACUGAACUGACCUCAACUCCAA
Colossoma macropomum (tambaqui) is the source of this 284-nucleotide long non-coding RNA. RefSeq lists it as uncharacterized. Lineage: Eukaryota; Metazoa; Chordata; Actinopteri; Characiformes; Serrasalmidae. The record is from RefSeq and is a predicted model, not a curated record. The transcript has 4 exons.